RNAcentral lists this ribosomal RNA (253 nucleotides) under uncultured bacterium. RNAcentral describes it as "partial 16S ribosomal RNA". It matches the Rfam family "Bacterial small subunit ribosomal RNA", at positions 524 to 776 of the family's 1533-position model. The record is from RNAcentral.
UACGAAGGGGGCUAGCGUUGCUCGGAAUCACUGGGCGUAAAGGGUGCGUAGGCGGGUCUUUAAGUCAGGGGUGAAAUCCUGGAGCUCAACUCCAGAACUGCCUUUGAUACUGAAGAUCUUGAGUUCGGGAGAGGUGAGUGGAACUGCGAGUGUAGAGGUGAAAUUCGUAGAUAUCUGGAGGAACACCGGUGGCGAAGGCGGCAUCCUGGACCGGCAUUGACGCUGAGGCGCGAAAGCCAGGGGAGCAAACGGG